GUACCGGGAGAUAUUAUGCUGGCUGCUGGGCUGACCUUCUACUAUACAGUGUCAACAGGUUUGACAACCAUACAAUGUCAACUAUCUAGGCUGUCAACAGAUUUUCUCAGAAGAUAGAGAUUUGUCUUUUGGAGUAAGGCAAAGACCAAAACAAGAAACUGAAAAGCUGAGGUACACAGGUCUCCUCUGAGUAUUUAAAGCGGACAGUGAUUCACAUCUUACAAGGCCAGGAAUCUUUGAAAGUAACUUCAGAAAAAUCUGAAAGCUACCUGAAGCUCCAGCGACAAAUAUAGAACUGCACUGCCCUCCAGAGAUCUUCCCCUGAAUGCCAUCCUCAGGAAUUAGGAAAAACUGGGGAACACUGUUUAAACCUACGAAACAAAGUAAAGUGGCAGAGUGGUUGUUCUAUUCUCCUUGGACCAAGAAAAAGGAUAUGAAUGGUCAUCCUCUGGCUCUCAAGAAAGUUGCACUGGUGUACUCCAGUCUCUCUAGAAAACUUUUAUGAAGAGUAAAUGUGUAAAAACUUAAAACAUCUAAUAUUAGAUGUUUGCUGCCGUGUUUAGAACAUAAAUAUUAUUCUACAUGAGACUUCAAGAGAAACAAGACAGAACAAUUAACUAGUCUUUGGAAAAGAUUCAACUCUAAUGCAUGCCGGGGGCCAGCAGGGGGAGUAAAACCCCCAAAAUAUGAAUAACAGAGAAGAAAAAUGCUAAAUGGAGUUACAGGUGGGACAACCUGGAAAGAAUCAGUCACCCAAUCAAAAGAGGAGGAUGGAAAGAUUCUAUAAGGCCUUAACCCAGAGAUAAAAUGAUUUUGAACUAUAUCUCAUCCACCUGGUGAAAAGUUCACCUCUUUAUACAUAUAUUCCAGACAGCCAAAUAAACUAACAGAAUUUCUU
This 898-nucleotide long non-coding RNA is filed under the name Vulpes vulpes (red fox). RNAcentral describes it as "lncRNA (ENSVVUG00000008521.1)". Lineage: Eukaryota; Metazoa; Chordata; Mammalia; Carnivora; Canidae. The record is from RNAcentral.